AAAACAUCGCCUCUUGAUAAGAGGUCCAGCCUGCCCAGUGACUUAGUUCAACGGCCGCGGUAUCCUAACCGUGCGAAGGUAGCGUAAUCACUUGUUCUUUAAAUAAGGACUAGUAUGAAUGGCACCACGAAGGUUAUACUGUCUCCUUUCCCUAAUCAGUGAAACUAAUCUCCCCGUGAAGAAGCGGGGAUAAAAAUAUAAGACGAGAAGACCCUAUGGAGCUUUAAACAACGCAGCAAUUGCUACCAGCACUUUGACAGCAAGUUUUAGGUUGGGGUGACCAUGGAGCACAAUUUAACCUCCACGCUGAAAGAAUCUUAUUCUUAGCUAUGAGCUACGACCCUAAGCACCAAUACACUGACAUCUAUUGACCCAUUGAACAACGAACCAAGUUACCCUAGGGAUAACAGCGCAAUCCACUUCAAGAGUCCCUAUCGACAAGUGGGUUUACGACCUCGAUGUUGGAUCAGGGUCUCCAAGUGGUGCAGCCGCUACUAAAGGUUCGUUUGUUCAACGAUUAAAACCCUACGUGAUCU
Molecule: ribosomal RNA, 536 nt
Filed under: Dendrophryniscus berthalutzae
Lineage: Eukaryota; Metazoa; Chordata; Amphibia; Anura; Bufonidae
Description: partial 16S ribosomal RNA
Rfam family: Bacterial large subunit ribosomal RNA
Source: RNAcentral